RNAcentral lists this ribosomal RNA (448 nucleotides) under uncultured bacterium. Its description in RNAcentral is "bacterial SSU rRNA". It matches the Rfam family "Bacterial small subunit ribosomal RNA", at positions 329 to 792 of the family's 1533-position model. The record is from RNAcentral.
GUCCAGACUCCUACGGGAGGCAGCAGUGGGGAAUAUUGGGCAAUGGGCGCAAGCCUGACCCAGCAACGCCGCGUGAAGGAAGAAGGCUUUCGGGUUGUAAACUUCUUUUGACAGGGAAGAGCAGAAGACGGUACCUGUCGAAUAAGCCACGGCUAACUACGUGCCAGCAGCCGCGGUAAUACGUAGGGGGCAAGCGUUAUCCGGAUUUACUGGGUGUAAAGGGAGCGUAGACGGCAGUGCAAGUCUGGAGUGAAAGGCGGGGGCUCAACCCCCGGACUGCUCUGGAAACUGUACGGCUGGAGUGCAGGAGAGGUAAGUGGAAUUCCGUGUGUAGCGGUGAAAUGCGUAGAUAUACGGAGGAACACCAGUGGCGAAGGCGGCCUGCUGGGCUUUUACUGACGCUGAGGCUCGAAAGUGUGGGGAGCAAACAGGAUUAGAUACCCUUGUA